AACAUGCUAUAUGCAUAAUAGGGCUGAGAAUAUAUGUUGUUAGAAAGUGACAUUUUUAUGUCUACAAGGGUUCAUUGUUCCUAAUUUCUUUUACUCUAUGCAUCUUACUUUUUUAAAAGGAUUUUGCUUUUAAUUUUUUAACAAGGCAGUGUCUCGCUAAACACUGACAAACAGUGAGGGAUUAACAUUUCUGUUUACAGCUACCAGAGGACUGGCAGAUUACCUUUUUUUAUGGUUCCACCUCAGUGGUGAAUGGAACCCAGUAGAUUUCAAAACUCUUUAAAGGAGAAUACUGUUCAGUUGAUGGAUUGUAUUGUUCAAGGUCUCGCUGGACAUUGAUUAUCUUUUGUUCUUGACUGUCAGAGUGGUGGCUUUUAAAUGUCUCCUUCUCUUCGAACUGGCAUUCAGAUGACUUGUGGAGGAUGAAUCAGGUGGGCAGAGAGCUGAAAACACGAAUUUAAUUCCAGUCUGACAGAUAUAAAGUGUUUCUGAAAACAAAUAUUCUAGCUGCAAUGGAAACAAAUGCGUUCUUACCCACCAUCACAGGAUCUGCAAAUUCCCAACCAGCAGAGACCUGGUCUCGGUGCUUAAAGAACCAGGUGCCUAAGCUCAGAUACAGAGCCUUUUUUCCCAGGUCUGAUUUUGUGCAUAUGGAUGUCUGAUGGUCCACUUCUGCAGAUGAAGAAACAACAGAUCUGGAUGAAGAAUCCUGCCUUGUCACAAAUAUCUGGAGACAGAGUAAGCUGCAUCUACUAUCCAUCUGACAGCUGAAGCUGGUGUGUGUACCACUGCUAUCUCAGCGAAGCAGGAACAAUUAAUAUGAUUGUUGCCCUGUCUAGAUGAAUCUUCUUGACCACUUUCUGAGUCAAUGGAUAGGUGGGGAAAGCAUACAGAAGGCCCUUUCUCCAGUGUAGAAGGAAGAGAUUCAAAAGGGAUUGAAGGUGCUUCAUGCUGUUGAACAGAGAAGGGGAUACUUUUUGUUAAUUUCUGUCACAGACAGUUCUACCUCGGGCUAACCCCAGUUACAAAAGAUGUCAUGAACUACUCAGGCCUUCAGAGACCCCUUAUGAAUCUGAGACCAGUCCCUGAUGAGACAAUCGGCUAGCCCAUUUCUUUCCUGUGCUAGAUGCAGGGCCACUAGACAGAUAUCAUGAAGAAUGCACCGGUCCCAUAACCUCACCUUUUCAGUACACAAUUGGAAUAAGUGAACUCCUCCUUGUUUGUUCUCAUAAUACAUAGCAGUUGUAUGGUCUGUGACUACCUGAACCAUCUUCCCUUGAAUACUGAGGAAUUAGCCGAGAGACAAAUUAAUGCCCUUUAAUUCCAACACAUUGAUGUGCAAGCUCUUUUCUUGAAAAGCCCAGUGACAUUGGAUAUUUCACGAAGCUAAAUAAGCUCCCCAUUAAGUUUUGGAAACUUCUGACAUUGUCCUCACCAACGGUGAAGGGGGAACUGAUGAAAACACCCCUGAGAACACUUGUCCUAUUCAUCUACCAUGUCAAUAAAUGGAGACCGUCCUGAGGCACGGUGCCAAAGUCUCAACUUGGUGUGUAAAUUGUCUCAACUUGGUGUGUAAAUGUGCCAUUUGGAGCAGCUUGUGAACAUCCAUAAGCAAAAUCACCUUGUGAGAUGGUCCCUGGGAAGGGAAGGGUAGGGGGAAUUGAAAGAAGGCAGGUUUUCUAAUUGAAUGGCAUAGUCCUUUUCUAUACUUUUUAGUAUCUAGUUUAUAAUAUCUAGUUCAGUGGUUCUCAACCUGCGGCCCAAUAAGAACACAGCUGUGGCCCA
Long non-coding RNA from Dermochelys coriacea (leatherback sea turtle), 1785 nucleotides. RefSeq lists it as uncharacterized. The transcript is spliced from 3 exons. The record is from RefSeq and is a predicted model, not a curated record. Lineage: Eukaryota; Metazoa; Chordata; Testudines; Dermochelyidae.